This 391-nucleotide ribosomal RNA is filed under the name Taylorilygus apicalis. RNAcentral's name for it is "eukaryotic LSU rRNA". It matches the Rfam family "Eukaryotic large subunit ribosomal RNA", at positions 763 to 1138 of the family's 3401-position model. Lineage: Eukaryota; Metazoa; Arthropoda; Insecta; Hemiptera; Miridae. The record is from RNAcentral.
GGGCGUCUCUAUCUCAUUGCGAGAGGAGGCGCACCUAGAGCGUACACGCUGAUACCCGAAAGAUGGUGAACUAUGCCUGGCCAGGACGAAGCCAGGGGAAACCCUGGUGGAGGUCCGCAGCGAUUCUGACGUGCAAAUCGAUCGUCGGAGCUGGGUUUAGGGGCGAAAGACCAAUCGAACCAUCUAGUAGCUGGUUCCCUCUGAAGUUUCCCUCAGGAUAGCUUGCGCUCGGAAACAACGAGUCUCAUCCGGUAGAGCGAAUGAUUAGAGGCCUUGGGGUCGAAACGACCUCAACCUAUUCUCAAACUCCAAAUAGAUGAGAACCCCGGCUUUCUUGAACUUUGUUUAUGAAGCCGGGGGCUCGGAUCAGAGUGCCAAGUGGGCCAAUUUU